RNAcentral lists this ribosomal RNA (247 nucleotides) under uncultured bacterium. Its description in RNAcentral is "partial 16S ribosomal RNA". It matches the Rfam family "Bacterial small subunit ribosomal RNA", at positions 57 to 305 of the family's 1533-position model. The record is from RNAcentral.
GCAAGUCGAGGGGUAUAUAGUGCUUGCACUAUAGAGACCGGCGCACGGGUGCGUAACGCUUAUGCAAUCUACCUUAUACAGGGGAAUAGCCCAGGGAAACUUGGAUUAAUGCCCCAUAGUAUCAUUAAGUAACCUUACUAUAUGAUUAAAGAAGUAUCGGUAUAAGAUGAGCAUGCGGCGCAGUAGUUAGUUGGUAAGGUAACGGCUUACCAAGACAGCGAUGGGUAGGGGCCCUGAGAGGGGGAUC